This is a small nuclear RNA of Tupaia belangeri (northern tree shrew), 108 nucleotides long. The record is from Ensembl. NCBI's taxonomy places the organism in Eukaryota, Metazoa, Chordata, Mammalia, Scandentia, Tupaiidae.
GUGCUCACUUUGGCAGCACACACACUGACAUUGUAACAAUACAGAGAUUAGCAUGGUCCCUGCAUAAGGAGGAUAUUGUAACAUAGCAUGGAUGAGCAGGAACUGUUG